This 253-nucleotide ribosomal RNA is filed under the name uncultured bacterium. RNAcentral's name for it is "partial 16S ribosomal RNA". It matches the Rfam family "Bacterial small subunit ribosomal RNA", at positions 524 to 776 of the family's 1533-position model. The record is from RNAcentral.
UACGUAGGGACCAAGCGUUGUCCGGAUUUAUUGGGCGUAAAGAGCUCGUAGGCGGCCCUCCACGUCGGAUGUGAAAGCUCAGGGCUCAACCCUGGGAUGCCAUUCGAUACGGGAAGGCUAGAGGUAGGUAGGGGAAAGUGGAAUUCCUGGUGUAGCGGUGAAAUGCGUAGAGAUCGGAAAGAACACCAACGGCGAAAGCACUCUGCUGGGCCGACACUGACACUGAGAGACGAAAGCUAGGGGAGCGAAUGGG